GAUGAACGCUGGCGGCGCGCCUAACACAUGCAAGUCGAACGAUUAAAGCACCUUCGGGUGUGUAUAAAGUGGCGAACGGCUGAGUAACACGUGGGCAACCUGCCCCUCUCAUUGGGAUAGCCACGGGAAACCGUGGAUAAUACCGAAUACUUCGGGACUUCCGCAUGGAAGACUCGAGAAAGCUCCGGCGGAGAGGGAUGGGCCCGCGGCCUGUUAGCUUGUUGGUGGGGUAAUGGCCUACCUAGGCAAUGAUGGGUAGCUGGGUUGAGAGACCGACCAGCCAGAUUGGGACUGAGACACGGCCCAGACUCCUACGGGAGGCAGCAGUGGGGAAUCUUGCACAAUGGGCGAAAGCCUGAUGCAGCGACGCCGCGUGCGGGAUGAAGGCCUUCGGGUUGUAAACCGCUUUCAGCAGGGACGAGGCGAAAGUGACGGUACCUGCAGAAGAAGCCCCGGCUAACUACGUG
This 467-nucleotide ribosomal RNA is filed under the name uncultured bacterium. RNAcentral describes it as "partial 16S ribosomal RNA". It matches the Rfam family "Bacterial small subunit ribosomal RNA", at positions 28 to 507 of the family's 1533-position model. The record is from RNAcentral.